Non-coding RNA from Callithrix jacchus (white-tufted-ear marmoset), 2063 nucleotides. The record is from RefSeq and is a predicted model, not a curated record. Lineage: Eukaryota; Metazoa; Chordata; Mammalia; Primates; Cebidae.
AUGUCCCUCACCCCAAGCACCUGCUGGCUGCCGGAAGCAUCCCCCGAGACCUCAAGCCUGACUCCAGCUGUACCCACAGAAAGUCCAGCUCCGACAGUACCCUUGUUGCCUUUGAGCCAGACCCAAGGCAAGAGAGAGGCUUUGUCUCCCCACAGACUGCAGGACUGAGCCUGGAGAGAGAAGUCGCUUGACAGAUGCCACUUGUCAGAACAGUAUGUGAGUGUCUGGAGACAGCAUAGCUGACCCCAACCCCCCAGCACUGAGGACCCCUCCAGGCUCCUCUUUCUUGGAAGUGCCCCCAUGCCCCAUGGUUGAUGACACCACUGCCUCCUGCCUACCCAUGGGCCCAAGUUUCUGUGGCUGGUUUCAGGGCAUCUGGUCCCUGCCACUCAGCAUAGAUACACCUCACAGCUCAUGCAGAGCCCUGGUCCCUGGGGACUCUUAAGCUCCCCACAGUCCUCCAGGUCCUCCAGCUCUGUCAGAUGGAGGGCUCUCAGGGGUGUGACCUGGGCCUGGUCCCACUGAUGGCUGGCAGCAGCAUGUGCUCUGGGAAUAAAGAGCAGCCCUAGCCCCAGAGGGAUCCCCGCACCCAGGAGGCCUCCCGACACCAGCCUAAAUCCUGACAGUGGGGUCUGCCCUCUGAGAUGGGGAGCCCCUAGUCCUUUAAGGUUGGUUGCUAGGGCCUGUGCUCCAAAGCAAUGGGCAGGGGCAGCCUGCAGCUGCCCACCCAACCUAGUCUUCACACCAGGUUGCACAGGAUCUCUUCUAUCUUGAUGGAGAAGAGGGGUUCCUACCCAGGAUCAUACAACACAGCAAAUAGCAUAGAGCUCUUUCCUUUUUUUUUUUUUGGUUGGGAUCAGGGGUUGUUUCUUUGAGAUUUAAGUUUUCAUUUUUGAGGGGUAAUGACCUUCAAGUAAAACAGUAAUAGCAAGAGUGAAGGUACUUUGGAACCACUAACACCUCUGCACAGGGCAGUCAGCCAGCUCAAGUUGUUUUUCAUACAAAGGGACUUGGCAGGUGGUUUGAGUACCCGCCCCUUCACCUCACAGACAAGGCAGCUGGCCCAGUCUGGGGAGUCUGCCCAGGACAGUGGUGGAGCUGGGCCUUGAAACCCAGUCUGUACCUAAAAAACUAAGGGAAAUGGAUCAUUCUCAAAGGAGCAACAGUGACACCAUCCCUGCACUCCUGGGUCCUGGUCUUACAGUGCCCAAGGCAUGGCAUGGUGGCAGCUGGACCCUUCCCCACCAGGUAACACUGGGGCUAGAGGUGGGCUCUGUUUAGGAGGGUGGUCAGACCACACAGCCAAAUUGCUCCUCAACCCUAGACAAAGCCUUUGACCACGAGGGAGGUGCUAUUAGCUGGGCAGCCCUUUUGGGUUUCAGAGACUGGUGUUGGCUCCAGACUGGUCUCAUCUCCAUUGCCUUAAUGACAGGUGGCCCAGGAGUACCCAUUCAUAGCAGCUGUGGGUGUGGGCAUCUUCAGAUGUUCUGGUAAAAUUGUGAGAUUAGCUGUAUGAAGGAAACCAGUGGGAGGAAAGGAAGUUUUCAGGAUGGUGAGAUUUGAUUCAGACACAGUGCACGUGCUGCUAGGGCUGUCACUGGGCAGUGGCCUUCAUGGAGAGUGGUACCAGCACCUCAGUCCAUCCAGGAUAUUUAGAAACACUCAGUCUCUGGUCCCAGAGGAUGGCUUCUCAGGCCAUGCCACAAGUUAAAACGUCACCUGCCAGGAAGAUGAAUGAGAAAGCUGCCCAUUCUUAAGACCCAUCUGCCUAAGGAGGGUCACAGAGGCAGGAUGUAAGCCACACUGUUGCAUUCUUGCAUAAGUCAUGAAAAUGGGGCCGGAGGGGGAGCCUGGACAUCAGGGACUUCUGCCCACAGCACAUGGCACCCACAGCUGCCCAGCCUGUCCACAUGCUGGGGCCCAGCACAGCCCCUAAAGCCACAUGGGACAGUGGGCUUUGUUCACUAUAGCCACAGGGGCAUGAAAGGGAUCUUUUGCAUUGCAGAGAUUUUAUAUAUAUUUUGUUUGUAAUGAGCCAUUCUCAAUAAAUUCUCACUGCAAAA